RNAcentral lists this long non-coding RNA (6803 nucleotides) under Sus scrofa (pig). RNAcentral's name for it is "lncRNA (ENSSSCG00035049817.1)". The record is from RNAcentral. Lineage: Eukaryota; Metazoa; Chordata; Mammalia; Artiodactyla; Suidae.
UUGAAAAGGGAAACAAGGAGCAAUUAUAAGGUAUUCCUAUCUCAUGAGCCUGUUGGAUUCUCAGGGAAAUGAAUUUACAGAAGGCUGUAGGCCAUCCCUGCAGAAGAGGUGAAAGGUCCUGACUCCUGAGAAGAACCCCACCUCCCUCUCCUGCAUUAGAGGCAGAGCUCCUGUCUAGCGUCCUGGUCUUUCCUGGACUGUUCGAGGACAGCCAGCAUGGUUUCCCGGACUGGAGAAGUCUGACUAGCAAUUUUUCCCAGGCUUUGACUGGGGAAUCCAGACAUUGAGGUUUCUCUGAGGACAACUUUAAGUCCCUGCUGUCAUCAUCUUCAUCGCUGAUUUGAGAGAGGGUAAGUACCGCUUCUUUCUGAACUUAUUUUUUCCAAGGCUUGCAUUGGCAUCACUCAAGCUCUUAAUAGUUGUUUCAAAGGAUUUAAAAAUUACCAAAAUAAUUCAGACAUGUUCUAGUUUCUACUUAUGUGUAUAUAUAUCCAAGAGGACUUAAAGGAAAGUGACCACAUCAUAUGGUAGAGUGAAUACAAAAGGCGCUAUAACUAGACUUUGCUUCAAGUCCUAACUUUCUACUUAUAACUGGCUGUGUGACCUUGAGAAAGUUUCUUAACUCCUUCAAUUUCUUCAUCUACAAAAUGAGAAAUUUGGGCUGCAUUCUUCUGAAAUAUUCCCUAAAUUCUUUAAUAAUGUACUCAUAUGGAGAUUGAAAAGCACUGAUUUAAAGCAGUGACUUCCAAAGUCUGCUGGGAAAUCCUUCUGCCUCCAGCACUGGAGAAUGUACGAAAAAUGUACCUCCCCUAGCUAUUUCCCAGAUCUACCAAGUGAGACCCUUGAGGCUGAAGAGCAGAAGUCUGCCUCUAACAAACUCCUCCGAUGAAUUGGUUGCACAGUAAUGGUUGACAGCCAUUGCCCUCACCACUGAGAGUUUUGUUCUGGUCACAUGUAUGUUCAAUUCUGUUAGAUGUGAUAAUCCAGGUGGAAAUUGCCUGGAACAAUCGUGAACUUGUAGUAGAAUUAACAAGGUUGGCAUCUGGUGGCUGUUUUACCCUUUGUUUCUUGGCUCCGAACCUUUCAUCCUCCACUCACCAAUUCAUUGGCCAGGUGUCUUAUGUAGGCUCCUUGGCUCUCCUCCCCUUGGCUGCAACUCAGUGGGGGUAAAAUCCUUUAGGCAAUGAUGGUUAAAGGAUGGAACAUCCUCCUAGACUCUAUUCAAAACGAGAUCUUGUCUGUCUUCUCACUCCCAGAGGUAUCAUAAUCACCAUCUCCUCUUUUGCCAUAAGCUUCACUAUGAGUCUUUUGCUUUGGAUGGUUGGGCUUUGCUCCCAAGAGUAUCAUCCCUGUGAAAUGAGUGCAGGGAUGUGGGUGGAGGUAUAUCAUGUUUGUAUGUGAAACUAAGGAGGCAGACUCUUGGAGAGGAGGCGCCAGGCCCAGCGAUCCCACACCCAGAGUGUGCUCAGAGAUUUGAACCAUGAAUCAGAAAAGUAUUCAGACUUGUGCUAUAGUUUGAUUCUGUUGCCAAUACAGAAUGUGUGCCAUUUUGGGUUUUCUUUGCAGUGUGCCUAAAUCCUCAAGGAAUCACAGCCACCCCUAGAGAGACUUACAUCUUAAAGGAAAACUAAAUCUUGACUUUGAAAUAUAAACAGGGUCUCCCAAUACUGCCUACAGAGACUCCCCACCAAGAUCAGUCUAAUUGCUCAGUGGGGUGACUGUUGCUCUUCUCUGGAGCUUCAGCAAAUAUUAUUUUCUGGCAUCAAAUAAAGGGAAUUGGAGCUUUAAGAACAUAGUGUCGCUGUUGUCUGCUUUGAGUCAGAUAUAAAACCCUCCUCCCAAAUCACAGGCAAGACAUUGUGUGUGAUGUGUUAGGUAAAGUACUAAAAAGUGCCCCUUCGUGAGAGAACCACUCACCCAUAAAGAGUGUUCCAUACAACACCCACUGCUGGCUGGGGAUGGAUGUGGGCUUUAUUUGAUUUGGGGUUGAUUUAUUUGUUUGCCUUGCUUCUAGAACAGCAUAGCUUGGGUUUAAUGUCUCGAAUACUGAAUCCAAUACUUCUAGGUUCACUGACUUGUUAUUAUUUAGCAUUUAUGAAGUAUAUGUCAGUGCACUUGGAGCUUUACAAUGACUCAUAAAAAAGCAUGAUCCUGGCAAUUGAGCAUACGGUUGCUACUGGUUGAAUUACUGCCUAUGUGGAAAUGAUCACAGGACAAAUCUGGACAUCCUUCGCCCUCUAAACAACUCUAUAUCUUGGUUCUUCAUUGCACCAGCUACCAUCUUGAUGUCAGCAUCUUAAUACGAUAGACUCAGUGUAUGGUUCUUGAUGCUUAGGAAAAGUUUAGCAAACAUCAACAGAUGAAUUGAUGGAUGAGUGGAUGGGUGGAUGGAUGAAUGGGUGGAUGAGUGGAUGGGUGGAUGGAUAACUCUCUCCUUGGUGGACAUCUGCAACUCUCUGUUUGUCCCUCCACCCAUGGCUUUAUGUAGGCAUUUUGCAAACUGUGUGGUUAUAGAGCAGGCUGACUUGGAAGCAAGGGAAUGGUUCCUUCUUAAAUGGCUUUUUGCAGUGAAGAUGAGAUUAAUAUAUCUAUGAGGUAGAGAGAAACAUAAUGAGAAACUGAUGACCCCACAUCAUACAAACUUGUUAACAAUAUUGUAUCUAUGUCAAUUUCUUCAUUUUAAUUAUAUAAGAUGUUACGAUUGGCAGAAGUGGGAUGAAGGGUAUAAGGGGAUCUCUGUACUAUUUUUACAGCUUUGCAUGAGUAUAUAGUCCUUUUACCAAAGAACCACAUGGACUUCAUCCUUCAUAUCUUUGUCAUCACAUCUCAUUACCUACAUCUUCUAGUCACUAGGCCCCUCACUAACAAUAGCACAUCCAAGUGUGUCUGUUCAGGACUUCCAAAAAACAGAAGCCAAUAUAGAAUUAGGCAAGUGGGAGAUGUUUUGAAGGAAAACCUGUGAAGCAUAAAAUGAGAAGAAGAGUCUUCAAACAGCCAGGUGGGGAGUUCCCAUUGUGGUUCAGUGGAAACGAAAUCUGACUAGCAUCCAUGAAGAAGAUGCGGGUUCGAUCCCUGGCCUCACUCAGUGGGUUAAGGACCCAGUGUUACCAUGAGCUGUAGUGUAGGUUGCAGAUGCAGCUCGGAUCUGACGUUGCUGUGACUGUGCCAUAGGCCAGCGACUACAGCACCAAUUCAACCCCUAGUCUGGGAGCCUCCAUAUGCAGCGGGUGCAGCCCUAAAAAGACAAAAAAAAAAACAAAAAACAAACCAAAAAAAAACCCUGCCAGGCAGUUCCAACACCCGUGAAAGGAGAGAAGGAAGGAAGAGGCCCAGACUGUGUGCAAGACAGAGAAAAAUCUCAGCCAAGCUAGUGAGAAGGCCUUGAGCAAACUGCCUGUCACAGGAGUCCCAUGAGGGCCGGAUGGCCCUGGUCUAGUCCCCUCACCAGGCUCUGUCAUCACUGGAGCAGCCUGGCCUGGAACAAAUACCAGGUAUGUCCAGAGAGGCAAAGACAAGUGGAGGCUGUCAAUCAGCUCUGCUCCCGGAGCAGCUUAUUUUCCACCAGGAUCGAAACGGGACGCCUCCAAGGCCAUACACCCAGAAAAGGCUUUCUCUCUGUCCUCUUACCUUCCUAUCCAGCCCUCUUAUGACCUUGACUCCUUGUCCCUCUGCCACACUGAGAUUCUUACUCAUAAACCACAGUGAAUUCCACCCUCUGCUUCCUCUAUGUAUCUGCUCCCUGCCUACCCAGCACAGUUUAAAGUCAUAGAAUGGAGCCAACUGAUGAACCAGAUGUGUGUGCCAUGCAACAUCAGGCAGGCCUUGCCACACCUCAGAGUCUGUCACAUUUCUUACUGUGUUUAUCGCAUCCCUCUGCUGCUUUCCUUGUGUACUUCCACCCUGGCUUCUGCUGGGGGUCUGGGGGCCCUGGCUCCUUUAUCCUAAACUCAACAUCUUCUGAUCACCCUCCCCCUUGGAGCUAUCCUCGUAGAUCUCUCCUUUCCUCAUCAUCAAACCUCUUGAGCGAUGUUUCUGCACCUGCUGUUCCCUUCCCUUCUGGACCAUACACUUGUCCUCCGAUGCCUCUUUUUCCCCAGGAAUCAGAUGAAGCUGCCUCCUCCCAGGUCUGUGCUGCUGAACCCAGUGUCUCAUCUUGGGUCUCACCUCCCUUCCAGGACCCUUCGUCUUGUCCGUCACCCCUCAUCUUCCACGUUUCCUCUUCCCUUGGCUUCUGGGCCACGCUACUCUCAACUCUUCUUCCCAUCUUCCUGACCUCUCUAAUCUUUUCUGACUUCUGUUAUCGUUUCUAAAUAUUCCCCCAAGAUUCUGUCUUCUUUACUCUUUAUUUGACUCUAUCUCUCCCUUCACAUUUUUCUCCAUUUUCAGAUCAACUCUCUGCAGAGUCUCUCAAUCACCAGCUCAGACUUAAAUUCCUGGGCACGGUCCCUCUCCAUCUUGCCAGAGCUUCAAAUUCGUCUGCAUUUCCCUCCCAUACUCUCUUCUCCUCUGGGCUUUCCUCUUAAUGCAACCCCCUUCUGUCUGUCAUUUGGAUUAGAAUCUUUUUUUUUUUUUUUGGUCUUUUUAGGGCCACACCUGCGGCAUAUGGAGGUUCCCAAGCUAGGGGUCCAAUUGGAGCAGUAGCCGAGGGACUACAUCGCAGUCACAGCAACGUGGGGUCUGAGCCACGUCUUCAGUCUACACUACAGCUCAUGGCAAUGCCGGAUCCUUAACCCACUGAGCAAGGUCAGGGAUUGAACCCGCAUCUUCAUGGAUGCUAAUCGGGUUUGCUAACCACUGAGCCACGACAGGAACUCCCUGACUGGAAUCUUGCUAUCACCUUGGCCCUUUGUAGCCAUUGCUCUGUCCAUCCUUCCUCCAUCAUUUAUCCCCACCCCCAGCCUUCCUGCUCUGCCAGUCACUGUCCCAGCUCCAGCCUUGACUGCCUGCCCUGUGGAGGUCCUAUCAAUACCCCUAAACUGGUCUUUCCAUCUUGAAUCUUCUCUCCUUUCAGGCCAUGGUCAUCACCAAUGGCUGUUUUAUUUUCCUAAAAGCAUAGCUUUCAUUCUGUCCCUUUUGUGCCGAGACACUUAGGGUGGCUCAACAUCGGGUAUUCACCUCCUUCCUGCCCAGUAGCUAAAAUUAAUCUCCUCCCAUCUAAACCACUGUGAUAUAUUUUUAAUACCUUCUUUUAGCCCUUAUUACUGAUUACUAGCCAGCUAAUUCUCUGAGCUCUCUUUCCCACCCCUCACUCACCCCCAAAGAAAUAAAGACAGAUGUGUGUUUUACUCUUGUUUCUAUCCUAUUCCUGUGUGUUUUCCCCUGGAGUCAACAGCCUCUCGGAAGGACAUGAAAGCAGAGCAUUCUGUCGGGUCUGACCCUGAAAUAGUGGUUCUGGUGUGGUGCUAAGAGCCAGGCUCUGGGAUCAUUCUGCCUGGGUUCAAAUCCUGUAAUCGCGAAUGUUGUGAUUUAUGGCCCUGAGUCUUGGUUUCCUCGCCUCUAAAAUAGGCUAAUAAUUGGUAUGCAUGCCGUCGGAUUAGUCUGGUGACUAAAUAAGGUAAUGCACGGAAGAGGUUUAGAGCCAAGCUUGGCACCUCUCAGUGCUCAGGGUUAGCUAUUGCUAUUAUCAUCAUCGUUAUUGUUUUAUCACGCUCACAGCAUGACAUUAUCUACAGCUUAAUUAUUCACUGUUUGGCACGAGAGACUAACUUGGGAAUUACACACAACUGGUGAAUUAAUAUCCUGAGUACUUCCACUAAGACAUCAGGCUAAUAAUUUUUGGUACUUUAGAUAACCCAUGAUAGGUCCCAGAGGAUCCUGAAACCAAGAGUCUACAUUUUCCCUUGUAAGAAAGAACUUUUUUUUUUCUUUGAGUUUUCACUGUCUGUAGUUUUACAUAGCAGCUUCCAAGACUCGGGACCUGGAAAAUGAACUGAAGGCGGAAGGAAAAGCCACCACUGACCCAGAAAAUGUCUGGUUCCCCACAUGUGCGAUAACACACGUGACUACAAUUGUAAAUGAGCCCACGGACCAGGCAGAGGUGGCAAAAGACCAAAUGUUGGGAGAAAGAGAGGCUAUCUUAGAGGAAGUUUAAAAAAAGCAGUGUGAACUAUAAUAGUUGAUUCUAACAAAUAAAGACAUUAAAAUGAGGGUUAAAACUGGUCAGCUCGAUGAUUGCACAACACUGUAAAUAUAAUUAAUGCCAUUGAAUUUAAAAAGGAUUAAAAUGGCAAAUUUUAUGUUACAUACAUGUUUACCUCAUUAAAAAAAUAAUCGAUACACACACACACACACACACACAAAGCUAGGCAGCUAAAAUGUAUAGCAAUUUAUAAUAAUACUUUUAUUUCGGGAAUGUUUUUCCAUGUGGCAGAGCUGCUUGUGUCAGGUUAGUAUUCAUUAAGUACCUACGUAGACAAGUACUGUGCUUAGUAUAGCGUAUGAAAUAAGUAGCUAAUUUUUAUGUAUUAGUACUGAAGUGUUUAUUACUGUUAAUGAAAGAAUGAUGUCGUUCAUGAAAAAGCAAGUGGCCCUCGAUACAGUCGUUACAGACUUGUGGGCAAAGUACAACCACCUUUGUUAAAAGAAAAUUAGGGAGUUCCCAUCGUGGCUCAGUGGUUAACGAAUCCGACUAGGAACCAUGAGGUUGCGGGUUCAAUCCCUGGCCUUGCUCAGUGGGUUAAGGAUCCAGCGUUGCCAUGAGCUGUGGUGUGGGUCGCAGACGCAGCUCAGAUCCCGCGUUGCUGCCCCUAGCCUGAGAACCUCCAUAUGCCACAGGAGCGGCCCAAGAAAUGGAAAAAAAAAAA